UGGGGAAUAUUGCACAAUGGAGGGAACUCUGAUGCAGCGACGCCGCGUGAACGAAGAAGGCUUUCGAGUCGUAAAGUUCUUUUAUAUGGGAAGAUAAUGACGGUACCAUAAGAAAAAGCCCCGGCUAACUACGUGCCAGCAGCCGCGGUAAUACGUAGGGGGCUAGCGUUGUCCGGAAUCACUGGGCGUAAAGGGUUCGCAGGCGGAAAUGCAAGUCAGGUGUAAAAGGCAGUAGCUUAACUACUGUAAGCAUUUGAAACUGCAUAUCUUGAGAAGGGUAGAGGUAAGUGGAAUUUUUAGUGUAGCUGUGAAAUGCGUAGAUAUUAAAAAGAAUACCGGUUGCGAAGGCGGCUUACUGGGCUCAUUCUGACGCUGAGGAACGAAAGCGUGGGUAGCAAACAGG
RNAcentral lists this ribosomal RNA (403 nucleotides) under bacterium. Its description in RNAcentral is "partial 16S ribosomal RNA". It matches the Rfam family "Bacterial small subunit ribosomal RNA", at positions 355 to 776 of the family's 1533-position model. The record is from RNAcentral.